AUGGAGCUAAGGGCGCAGGAGGCCGCUGCCCACCCGUUCCCGUCACCAAGACCAAGGUCGACGGCCGCGUCGGCUUCUCCCCGCGAGCUCGACGAGCUCAUGGCCGGCCGACGCCUCCCCUCCAGCGGCGAGAUGUGCCAGCCUCCCGACGGACGGCCGCACCUUCCCCAACCUCGUCGUUAUAACACACGAGGAAUGACGAGCGGGAGGCCCGGGCAAGAGGAUGAGGAAGGCGACGUGGACGAGGUAAGCGUCGACGAAGCUCUCCUGCCGAUCCCUAGGAGGAGCCAGGACUGCAAGGAGCUAGGAGAGGUGAGCUUAGCGGUGGGCGCCGAGGUGAAGCGGCAGCUGUGGCUCGCCGGCCCGCUCAUCGUCGGCAGCCUGAUGCAGAACCUGAUCCAGACCAUCUCCGUCAUGUUCGUCGGGCACCUCGGCGAGCUGCCCCUCGCCGGCGCGUCCAUGGCCACCUCUUUCGCCACCGUCACCGGAUUCAGCUUGCUGACAGGCAUGUCCAAUGCUCUGGACACUCUAUGUGGCCAAGCAUUUGGCGCCGGCCAAUACCACCUCCUUGGCAUAUACAAGCAACGCGCCAUGCUGCUACUCACAGUCGUAAGCAUCCCUGUCGCCAUCAUGUGGUUCUACACUGGUCAGAUCAUGCUCCUGUUCGGCCAAGACCCCGAGAUCGCCAUGGAGGCAGGCAUGUACGCCCGGUGGAUGAUCCCCGGCCUCUUCGGCUAUGGACUACUGCAGUGCCACGUUCGUUUCUUGCAGUCGCAAAACACCGUGCUCCCGGUCAUGGUGAGCGCCGGCGCGGCCGCUCUGUUCCAUCUGCUCGCCUGCUGGCUGCUCGUGCACGUUGCCGGGAUGGGCAGCAAGGGCGCGGCUCUGAGCACCGCCGUCUCCUACUGGGUCUACGUGAUCUUACUGGCCAUGUACGUGAGGGUGUCGAGCUCUUGUAAGCAGACGUGGAACGGGUUCUCCAUGCAAGCCUUCCAUGGGGCGCACGACUUUCUCAGGCUCGCCGUGCCGUCUGCUCUCAUGCUUUGCUUGGAAUGGUGGUCGUUCGAAAUCCUCGUGCUGCUUUCAGGACUUCUUCCAAAUCCUAAGCUGGAAACAUCCGUCCUAUCAAUCACACUCAACACGGCUAACUGUCUCUUCAUGAUUCCCUACGGCCUCGGCGCUGCCAUAAGAUCGUGCUUCGUGCAGCACCCGUGUCUCGAACGAGCUCGGGGCGGGGCGGCCACGGGCAGCCCGCCUCGCCGUGCACGUCGUCAUGUUCUUGGCCAUCUCGGAAGGAACCGUCAUGGCUGCGGUCGUGGUCCGUGUGCGCUACAUCUGGGGCCACGCUUACAGCAGCGAGGAGGAGGUCGUGUCAUACGUUGCCAGGAUGCUGCUGGUGAUCUUGGUGGUCAACUUUUUCGACGGGAUUCAGUGUGUUCUCUCAGUCUGUAUAUAGGUGUUGCUAGAGGCUGUGGGUGGCAGAAGAUGUGUGCCUUCAUCAACCUUGGGGCAUUCUACGUUGUCGGCGUGCCGGCGGCCUACCUCAUAGCCUUCGUGUUGCGCGUCGGCGGGAUGGGCCUUUGGAUGGGGAUCAUCUGCGGUGUUCUGGUGCAGGUCAUGCUGCUCACGAUCAUCACACUGUGCACCAAUUGGCAGAAGGAGGCGAUGAAGGCGAAGAACAGAGUGUUCAAUUCUUCUAUUCCGACGGAUCGAUCUACUCAUGACAUGAAGAUAAGUAUGGAGGUCUCGUGCUACUGA
RNAcentral lists this ribosomal RNA (1758 nucleotides) under Triticum aestivum (bread wheat). RNAcentral's name for it is "partial small subunit ribosomal RNA". The record is from RNAcentral. Lineage: Eukaryota; Viridiplantae; Streptophyta; Magnoliopsida; Poales; Poaceae.